This is a long non-coding RNA of Hemicordylus capensis (graceful crag lizard), 2163 nucleotides long. RefSeq lists it as uncharacterized. The transcript is spliced from 3 exons. Lineage: Eukaryota; Metazoa; Chordata; Lepidosauria; Squamata; Cordylidae. The record is from RefSeq and is a predicted model, not a curated record.
GAAUUCGCUUGCUGGGCGGCUGCGGAGGCAAGGCGGCGGGCCCAUGGCCGCGGCGGCGGAGCCCAGCAAGGUGGUGGCGGCGGCCCCGGCCGUGAGACUAUGGGAAACACCUAUAUCAGGCAGCAGCGAUAUAGGAAGAUGCUGAAAGGCUCAUACUGCGUGGGAGAUGGCCAUGGUAAACCCCUACCAAAGAAAACCACAUGGCUCUGUGCUUGCCAGGAGUCAACACAGACUCGACGGCACAACUUUACUUUAUGAGCUUCUUCCUGCUGUGGAUAAUCAUCACUGCAGCCUGCCUGAAGCAACUCCAGCCCCAGCGUGCCAUCCAUCCUGCAAUAAUUUCAUCCUUUUUUUGAGAAAAAGAGAAGAGGAGGAGGAAAAUUAUUUAAAACAACAACAAAAAAUCUGCCUUGCUGCAAGGCCAGCCUGCUGGCUGUGCAUCCAGUCUCUCCUGCAUUUUCUGUCUUUGUUUUAAAUUGAGCAAGAGAGAAUAUUGGUAGAAAAGGAGGGUUUUUUUCCUCCUUUUUAAAUCCCCCCCCCCGAUUUUUUGCAACUUCUUCCUGCUGUGGAGAGAGAAAAUCAUUUAUCACUGCUGCCUGUGCCUGCCUGCCUGCCUGCCUGCACUUCCACUCCAGGCCCAGUGUGCCAUCCUCCUGUGACCAGACCCUCAGAGGGGGACUACAGAGACCCAGCGUUGGAGAAGCCUUCAACUGAGUGAGAGUGGCCCAACCAUUUAUAUUUCACACACACACACACACACACAUACACACAGAUCUUUCUCUAGUCUCCCUUCAAUUGUGUAUUUGGGGUUUAUUUUAUCCCUGUUUGGAGGGAGGUUAAGGUUUGGGGGUUUAACUGUUCUCAAAAAGUUUUGUGAUAUUUGGAAGAUUGGGUUUUAAAUAGGGGUUCUUCAGUGUGUGUUGCCUUAGAGUCUAUAGGCUGGAUCCCCAUUAGCUAGGUAGUAGUAGGUGGUAGUUCAACUGUAGAGUAGACUGGAAGCGUAGCCUAGUAGUGCUUUAAAUAAAUAAUUCUUUUUUCCCCUCCCAAGAAAUUUUAUUUUGAAGAGGAAAGGAGCCUGAGCUUGUUCCAGUGCUUGCGCUAAUAAAGGAUUAAUUCAGCUCAAUGGUCUCAGCACUGACUCCUCCUAUCCUGAGUCCUGCAUACACUUUUGUGUUGUUGCUUUUUAAAAAAUAUUGAAAGCCCCUAGCCCAGUGGCGUAUUUAGGGAAAAUAGCGCCCAGGGCAAGCACUGAAAUUGUGCCCCCCCCCAUCCAAACAUCUGACACCCAUCUUUCAGAUAACUCUCAGACACACACAUGCAAGAAUGAUAUAAUCUAUAUAAACACAACCUCCCUGUUUUUUCCCACCACUCCUUAUUUCAGAGGCUCUUCUUAACGCAAUUUCAAAGACACUAACAAUCCCCAAAGCAACCAGCCACAUUCUAUAUUUCUAGAGCAUCUUUACCUCCAACAACCAAUCCUGAACUCUAGCAAAGCAACCUGAGCUUGUUCACUGGGUAUAACUUCUCACACAAAGCUAAUUCAAACCAAUUUCAGGUUUAGAAACUAUGGAGGUUCAGAUAAAGGACUUGAAGCAAAUGCUCUUCUCAUCAAUAGUUUUGAUAAAGUCUCUUGUUUGUGUGUACUUAGAAGACCUGACUACACAUGCGUAAGAAAUUAUUUUCUGCCACUUUUCAUUGUUUACUCUCUGGGUUAGUCACAAACUACUCCAAAAGGGGUAAAUGGGGUCCAUCAGGUACAGGUCUUGGCAGGAUUAUGCAAACUGCUACCUAAAUAUGUAGUAAAGACCAAAGCUUUUGUGAGGGAUCAGACAACUCCCUCCCCUUUUUUAAAAAGUCAGAGAGACCCUAAAAAGGAUGAACAAUCUCUAUCAGAGAAAUGGGAAGAAAAUCGCUCUCCCCCUCUGCUCUGAAUCUUAUGCUGAACAGGCACCAACAGGGGCAUUCAAACUGCAAGAGCAUUUCAGUUAAAAGGCUUCAGCAAAGUACUGUUGUGAGUGUAGAAGGGAGACAGAAGACUAUUGACAUUUAUACUGUUACUGUUACAUGAGUAAGUGGUAAGCUGCAGAUAUGUUUUCUUCUCCCUUCACAAGUAUGAGCGUUUCUCUUUUCCCCACCCUCCUGUUAUCAGUGAUAGCCAGGAUU